UCCCCACAGUGGGGAGCCUCCCCCCCCGCUCCUCAGCACCAUGCUGGAUAUCUUCAUCCUGAUGUUUUUUGCCAUCAUCGGCCUGGUGAUCCUCUCCUACAUCAUUUACAUGCUGUAGAGCAGCGCUGGGGACGAUGCGGCUCAGCCACCGGGGUGUUUGCCAGCCACCACCGCUGCCUGCUCCAUCUCCCACAGAAGCUUCUGGAAGAGCAUAACCCCGCUGCGAGGAAACGGAGAGCUGAAGGAGGGGAAUGGGGUGGUGGGAGCCAGGGGACAUCCUGCUGCUGAUGUUCCCGGUGCUGGACGCAGCAUCCCAGGGGAUGAGGACGGUCCUGCUCCCCCUCCCUGCGUGGCUUCCCUUGGGAUGAGCGCUUCCGAGGGUUUAGCUUUAGAAAAUCCCUUCUAUUUUCAAACGAGAGAUGUAAAAUGUAGAAGGAAAUGAAAUAAAGAGGAAUGAGACGAGGGAGAGAACGC
Pezoporus occidentalis (night parrot) is the source of this 474-nucleotide long non-coding RNA. RefSeq lists it as uncharacterized. Lineage: Eukaryota; Metazoa; Chordata; Aves; Psittaciformes; Psittacidae. The record is from RefSeq and is a predicted model, not a curated record. The transcript is spliced from 2 exons.